AAUCUUAUAGUUUAAUAAAAAAUUUUAAAUUGCAAAUUUAAGGAUAAAUUAGUUUUAAGAUUU
Molecule: transfer RNA, 63 nt
Filed under: Diplectrona albofasciata
Lineage: Eukaryota; Metazoa; Arthropoda; Insecta; Trichoptera; Hydropsychidae
Description: tRNA-Cys
Source: RNAcentral